GCAGUGGUGGUCAGUGUUAGAAUCCUCUCCUUCCAUGCGGGAGACCUGGGUUCGAUUCCCGGCCAAUGCU
RNAcentral lists this transfer RNA (70 nucleotides) under Loxodonta africana (African savanna elephant). It matches the Rfam family "tRNA". Rfam says of the family: Transfer RNA (tRNA) molecules are approximately 80 nucleotides in length. Their secondary structure includes four short double-helical elements and three loops (D, anti-codon, and T loops). The record is from Rfam by way of RNAcentral. Lineage: Eukaryota; Metazoa; Chordata; Mammalia; Proboscidea; Elephantidae.